RNAcentral lists this ribosomal RNA (1439 nucleotides) under Symbiobacterium turbinis. RNAcentral describes it as "16S ribosomal RNA". It matches the Rfam family "Bacterial small subunit ribosomal RNA". Lineage: Bacteria; Bacillati; Bacillota; Clostridia; Eubacteriales; Symbiobacteriaceae. The record is from RNAcentral.
UGCAAGUCGAGCGGGGCUUUGAGGCUUCGGCCUCAAAGCCUAGCGGCGGACGGGUGAGUAACACGUGGAUAACCUGCCCUUUGCUCUGGGAUAACAGGCCGAAAGGCCUGCUAAUACCGGAUAAGCUCACGGCCUCGCAUGGGGCUGGGAGAAAAGGCGCUAGAGCGAUUGGCGCUGGCAGAGGAGGGGUCCGCGGCCCAUUAGCUAGUUGGUGAGGUAACGGCUCACCAAGGCGACGAUGGGUAGCCGGCCUGAGAGGGCGACCGGCCACACUGGGACUGAGACACGGCCCAGACUCCUACGGGAGGCAGCAGUCGGGAAUUUUGCACAAUGGCCGAAAGGCUGAUGCAGCAACGCCGCGUGAGCGAGGAAGGCCUUCGGGUUGUAAAGCUCUGUUGCCUGCGAAGAAGGGCCCUGUCAGGAAAUGGGCAGGGUUUGACGGUAGCAGGCGAGGAAGCCCCGGCUAACUACGUGCCAGCAGCCGCGGUAAUACGUAGGGGGCGAGCGUUGUCCGGAAUUACUGGGCGUAAAGGGCGUGUAGGCGGCCUGUUAAGUCAGGGGUGAAACUCCGGGGCUCAACCCCGGGCGUGCCUCUGAAACUGAUGGGCUUGAGUGCUCUAGAGGGCAGUGGAAUUCCCCGGUGUAGCAGUGAAAUGCGUAGAGAUCGGGAGGAACACCAGUGGCGAAGGCGGCUGCCUGGGGAGUAACUGACGCUGAGGCGCGAAAGCUAGGGGAGCAAACAGGAUUAGAUACCCUGGUAGUCCUAGCCGUAAACGAUGAGUGCUAUGUGUGAGGGGUAUCGACCCCCCUCGUGCAGUAGUUAACGCAAUAAGCACUCCGCCUGGGGAGUACGGCCGCAAGGCUGAAACUCAAAGGAAUUGACGGGGGCCCGCACAAGCAGCGGAGCAUGUGGUUUAAUUCGAAGCAACGCGUAGAACCUUACCAGGGCUUGACAUCCGCCGAAUCCUGCAGAAAUGCGGGAGUGCUCCUUCGGGAGAACGGCGAGACAGGUGGUGCAUGGUUGUCGUCAGCUCGUGUCGUGAGAUGUUGGGUUAAGUCCCGCAACGAGCGCAACCCCUGUCGCAUGUUGCCAGCACGUAAAGGUGGGGACUCAUGCGAGACUGCCGGUGACAAACCGGAGGAAGGUGGGGAUGACGUCAAAUCAUCAUGCCCCUUAUGUCCUGGGCUACACACGUGCUACAAUGGCCGUCACAGAGCGCCCCGAACCCGCGAGGGGGAGGCAAUCGCUGAAAGGCGGUCUCAGUUCGGAUCGCAGGCUGCAACUCGCCUGCGUGAAGUCGGAGUUGCUAGUAAUCGCGGAUCAGCAUGCCGCGGUGAAUGCGUUCCCGGGCCUUGUACACACCGCCCGUCACACCAUGGGAGCUGGCAACACCCGAAGUCGGUGAGCUAACCCCGCAAGGGGAGGCAGCCGCCGAAGG